RNAcentral lists this ribosomal RNA (492 nucleotides) under uncultured bacterium. Its description in RNAcentral is "partial 16S ribosomal RNA". It matches the Rfam family "Bacterial small subunit ribosomal RNA", at positions 29 to 507 of the family's 1533-position model. The record is from RNAcentral.
AGUGAAUGCUGGCGGUAGGCCUAACACAUGCAAGUCGAACGGCAGCACAGUAAGAGCUUGCUCUUACGGGUGGCGAGUUGCGGACGGGUGAGGAAUACAUCGGAAUCUACUUUUUCGUGGGGGAUAACGUAGGGAAACUUACGCUAAUACCGCAUACGACCUACGGGUGAAAGCAGGGGAUCUUCGGACCUUGCGCGAUUGAAUGAGCCGAUGUCGGAUUAGCUAGUUGGCGGGGUAAAGGCCCACCAAGGCGACGAUCCGUAGCUGGUCUGAGAGGAUGAUCAGCAACACUGGAACUGAGACACGGUCCAGACUCCUACGGGAGGCAGCAGUGGGGAAUAUUGGACAAUGGGCGCAAGCCUGAUCCAGCCAUACCGCGUGGGUGAAGAAGGCCUUCGGGUUGUAAAGCCCUUUUGUUGGGAAAGAAAAGCAGCAGGUUAAUACCCCGCUGUUCUGACGGUACCCAAAGAAUAAGCACCGGCUAACUUCGUG